GGUUCUAUGGUGUAUUGGUUAGCACAUUGGACUUUGAAUCCAGCGACCUGGGUUCGACUAACCGGUAGGACCC
Brassica napus (rape) is the source of this 73-nucleotide non-coding RNA. The record is from Rfam. NCBI's taxonomy places the organism in Eukaryota, Viridiplantae, Streptophyta, Magnoliopsida, Brassicales, Brassicaceae.